Molecule: ribosomal RNA, 365 nt
Filed under: Bacillus pumilus
Lineage: Bacteria; Bacillati; Bacillota; Bacilli; Caryophanales; Bacillaceae
Description: bacterial SSU rRNA
Rfam family: Bacterial small subunit ribosomal RNA
Source: RNAcentral
GGACAGAGUGACAGGUGGUGCAUGGUUGUCGUCAGCUCGUGUCGUGAGAUGUUGGGUUAAGUCCCGCAACGAGCGCAACCCUUGAUCUUAGUUGCCAGCAUUCAGUUGGGCACUCUAAGGUGACUGCCGGUGACAAACCGGAGGAAGGUGGGGAUGACGUCAAAUCAUCAUGCCCCUUAUGACCUGGGCUACACACGUGCUACAAUGGACAGAACAAAGGGCUGCAAGACCGCAAGGUUUAGCCAAUCCCAUAAAUCUGUUCUCAGUUCGGAUCGCAGUCUGCAACUCGACUGCGUGAAGCUGGAAUCGCUAGUAAUCGCGGAUCAGCAUGCCGCGGUGAAUACGUUCCCGGGCCUUGUACACAC